Cyprinodon tularosa is the source of this 354-nucleotide long non-coding RNA. RefSeq lists it as uncharacterized. The record is from RefSeq and is a predicted model, not a curated record. The transcript is spliced from 2 exons. NCBI's taxonomy places the organism in Eukaryota, Metazoa, Chordata, Actinopteri, Cyprinodontiformes, Cyprinodontidae.
CGUGUGUCGGCUGCCCAAGUGGCUGGUGUGCUCGAUCCACUCAUCCAAAAUACGUUGCGCGGCUGGCGUUGGCGGCUGCAGUUGGAGGUUGGUGCGGCGAGCGGCUUCCGUCUGGCCCUCGCCUGCUGAUCCGCUCCCUCCCUGGUCGGCUGUGUCACCACAUCUGGGAUUCUUCCGGAGUUGCAGCGCUUGGACGCUCCUGCUGUCUUGUCUGUCUUGCCGGUUUUGUUUGGGCCGCUCUCGGCGGAGCCUGCUGACGCUUGGGCUGGCGGAACGAGCGGGGCACGACUCCUCUGGCCCCGUGAAAAGACAUUAGAAGUCGGACAACGACAGUUUGUCCCAUCGUUUGCAGUG